AAACUGCUGGUGUCUCGUAUAGAUGUCUGAUGGAUUUUAAGCGUUCACAAUAUGACACCUCGGUGUAACCAGUAAUGGUUUAUUGUAUUGUGUCGUGAUCAGCAGUGUAUUUGUUUAGUAAUCUUCAUGACCCGUCUUGAAACACGGACCAAGAAGUCUAUUUUAUGCGCGAGUCAAUGAGAUUUAUAAACCUCAGAGGCGUAAUUAACAUAACUAUUUUGUUUGGGAUUACGAAUUCUGUUUAAUAGAGAAUUUCUC
RNAcentral lists this ribosomal RNA (258 nucleotides) under Simulium noelleri. RNAcentral's name for it is "partial 28S ribosomal RNA". It matches the Rfam family "Eukaryotic large subunit ribosomal RNA", at positions 516 to 766 of the family's 3401-position model. Lineage: Eukaryota; Metazoa; Arthropoda; Insecta; Diptera; Simuliidae. The record is from RNAcentral.